GGUAGUGGUGGAAAGUUUUUUCGGCGUGGGAUGUGCUCGCGGCCUAUCAGCUUGUUGGUGGGGUAAUGGCCUACCAAGGCUUCGACGGGUAGCCGGCCUGAGAGGGUGACCGGCCACACUGGGACUGAGACACGGCCCAGACUCCUACGGGAGGCAGCAGUGGGGAAUAUUGGACAAUGGGCGGAAGCCUGAUCCAGCAACGCCGCGUGAGGGAUGACGGCCUUCGGGUUGUAAACCUCUUUCAGCACAGACGAAGCGCAAGUGACGGUAUGUGCAGAAGAAGGACCGGCCAACUACGUGCCAGCAGCCGCGGUAAUACGUAGGGUCCGAGCGUUGUCCGGAAUUAUUGGGCGUAAAGGGCUCGUAGGCGGUUUGUCGCGUCGGGAGUGAAAACCUACAGCUUAACUGUGGGCUUGCUUUCGAUACGGGCAGACUUGAGGCAUGCAGGGGAGAACGGAAUUCCUGGUGUAGCGGUGAAAUGCGCAGAUAUCAGGAGGAACACCGGUGGCGAAGGCGGUUCUCUGGGCAUGUUCUGACGCUGAGGAGCGAAAGUGUGGGGAGCGAACAGGAUUAGAUACCCUGGUAGUCCACACCGUAAAC
RNAcentral lists this ribosomal RNA (600 nucleotides) under Nocardioides sp. Its description in RNAcentral is "bacterial SSU rRNA". It matches the Rfam family "Bacterial small subunit ribosomal RNA", at positions 192 to 807 of the family's 1533-position model. The record is from RNAcentral. Lineage: Bacteria; Bacillati; Actinomycetota; Actinomycetes; Propionibacteriales; Nocardioidaceae.